RNAcentral lists this unclassified non-coding RNA (307 nucleotides) under Hevea brasiliensis (rubber tree). The record is from RNAcentral. Lineage: Eukaryota; Viridiplantae; Streptophyta; Magnoliopsida; Malpighiales; Euphorbiaceae.
GAAAAAAAUGAUUCAUAUCUAUAACUACAUGAUUUGACCAAAAAUGUCAAAUUGCAUAUCAUUUUAAUAAAAUUUUAGUGCAAUAUGUUAAGAAUAAAGGAAAAUAUAUGCGAAAUCAUGAUCACGUCACCACCUUCCAAAUUUGUAAAAAAUGAAUCUUCAGAUUGUGAGCACAAAUCAUGUAUAACUUUCCAAACAAGCAGAGUGCUGACAAGACAAUGACAGGCAAACAAGGUUCUACUAACUGAGUAGAAAGCACCCAAUUUAACACAGUAGCCAUUGAGAUCCACCAACUAAAUAAUAAGCA